AUGUCUGGAGGCGUGGGCCCGACGGCGGGGGGCGGCAUCAUGCUGCCGUCGAUGGGGCAGCCGCCGCCGCCGCUGCACCCGGAGCCCACCUCGCCGACGGCGCGCCCGCACCACCACUACUACCUCUUUUCCAUCAAGCAGCUCAACACGUUGGGCGCGGCCGCCGUGCUGGCCUUCUCCACCACCGUGCCGCUCUCGGAGAUCGCCUUCGCCGUCCUGCUCCUCCCCUACCUCCUCUUCCUCGCGUCGUUCGCCUUCCCGCAGCGCCCCGGGAAGCCCAACCCGUCCGCGCCCGUCUUCCUCGGCCCCGCGCGCCUCCUCCUCGCCACGCACACCGUGGGCGGCUUCCUCGUCGGCGCCGCGCUCCCGGCGCUCUACAUCCUCGACGGCCUCCGCUCCGGGGACACCACGGGCAUCGCCGCCGCGGCCCCGCACGCGUUCCUGCUCUCCGCGCAGGUCUUCACCGAGGGGCUCACCGCCGCCUUCCCGUGGCGGUUCUCGCUCCCCGUCAGGGCCGCCGUCCCGGUGAUGUACAGCGUCCGCAGGAUGUUCGCGGCCGGGGAGUGGCUCCGGCAGGAGAUGGAGGAGAAGCGCGGCGGCCCCGGCGUGGCGGAGCGGCGCGUGGUGGCCGGGAGGGUGCUCGCGCUGGCCAACAUGGCCUUCUGGGGCGCCAACCUCUUCGCCUUCCUCCUGCCCUUCUACCUGCCCAGGGCCCUCCAGAGGUACUACUGCGACGACGGCGUCGACCGCACCAACGGCGAUGGCCACGCCCACGAAGAUAAGAAGGAUUCCUAG
This 795-nucleotide ribosomal RNA is filed under the name Triticum aestivum (bread wheat). RNAcentral's name for it is "partial small subunit ribosomal RNA". Lineage: Eukaryota; Viridiplantae; Streptophyta; Magnoliopsida; Poales; Poaceae. The record is from RNAcentral.